GGUGCCGGAAGUGAGCUGUACUGCGCUGCGCCCCGCCCCGCCCGCGCGCUGUGGCGUCACUUCCGGCCAAGUGGAGCCCGAGAAAAAUCUCCGGCCGAGGUUGGAAGAUGUGGUGGUCUGCAAGUUGAAGAGGAACUGCUGCACUAGCGAAGAUAAGGCUGUUGUAUACAAUCAUACUGAAAUACAGUGCUGAGCGAGGGUGCUUGUGGAGGCACAGCUUCGGCUUCUGCGUUCUGCUCUGGCUAUCUGAAGAGCGUUCAGAGAACACCAAGAUGGACCUGAAAGUUGCACUGGCCAGUCUUCUGAAUCUUCACGAAAUGCGAUUUUUUUCUGUUAAAGAAUCCCAAAGCCUGGACAGUGUGAUCCCUAUAGCAGCUCCAGUAAGAUUAUUUUUCCACUACCUUGCCAUAAUGUGCCUUAGUGUUUUUGCUUUUAGUCAUUCUACAAGUAGUAUCUCAUUACUUUAUAUUUAAAGUGUAUUUUUAAAAAAUAAGCAUUCUUAUGCUUGGCUUGGUGAUUGGUGAAUCUGGAGGAAUUGUGCUCAGCUUUCCUUUCUCUACUGGGGCGGCAGAGAUUUCACUAAGCGUCUUACAUCCAGGGGUCAUUGCAGUGUGAAGGUGUCGUUAAUCGUCAGUUUUACGUAGUUAAUAGUUAAUAUCUAGUAAUUGAUUUUCCUUUCUUACUCCUCUGCAGUUUCAGUAUUUUUAUGCAAUUCUGUUUUCCUCUGUAUACAAAGUGUAGUUGGAAAACUUGUGACACUAGUUCAUUUAAAGACAUUGAGGAAAAAAAACAGACCACAUUGAAAUGACUAGAAAAAUGACUGCCUGUUUAGGUUUUCAGCCACAUAUACGUAGUUUUCAUCAAUAGUUCCAUUAUAUACCAUUUAUCUCCCAAAUGUUGCAAUUAACGAAAAUUAAAAAGAAUAUAAAGUAAUGAGAUACUACUUGUAGAAUGACUAAAAGCAAAAACACUAAGGCACAUUAUGGCAAGGUAGUGGAAAAAUAAACUCAAUCUCUGAUGGGAAUGCGAAGUGGUAGAGCCAUUUUGGAAAACAGUUUGUCAGUUUUUUAAAAAAAAUAAGCAUUCUUAGUACAUGAUACAGUAAACUGGUUAUUUAUCCAAUGUGUUAAAUACUUAAGUCUACAUAAAAUCUUGUACACUAUAUUUGCAGCACCUUUUUUCAUAAUUUUCAAAACUUGAAAGCAAUCAAGAUGAAUUUCAGUAGGUGAAUAAACUGGUAUAUCCAUAUAAUGGCAUUGUAUUCAAUACUCACUAAGAAAAAGUGAGCUAUUAAAUCUUGGAUGUGAAGGCACCACUGUGUACCACCCUACUGGGAGACAUUGACAGUGGAGGAGACUGCAUGUGAAAGGGAGCAGAAUGUUUAGAAAUUCUGUACUUCGUGCUCUGUUUUACUGUGAUCCUAAGAAUCAGUGAAAGAACUAAAUAGGCCCUUGGGUUUGAAUGUGUACCAACAUUUUCUGGAGAUUUGUAGGUCGUGGGUAUUAAACUCUUUUAGUGUUUAUAGCAUCUGUUUGUAUCACUACAGUUAACCACAGAUGAAUCCCAUUUUAGACAAGAAUCAAAAAGAAUAGAGAGAAAUAUGUGGCAAAAACCUGUGUUCUGAAUAACUUGCUGUAGCUCAUAAAAUACACUUAGUGAAGAGUCUUUUCCUAUAGAAAAUAAAUACAGCCAAUUUCCAGGUUUUUUGGGGGUGUGUGUGUGUGUGUGUGUGUGUGUGUAUAUAUAUAUACUGGGGAUCAAACCCAGUGCCUCAUGCAUGCUAGGAAAAAGCUCCAUCACUGAGCCACAUCUCCAGCCCAUCCAGAGUCUUAACUAGAAGGUGGAUAUUGUGAUUUAGAUCUAACAUGUUCCCCAAAAGUCUCACAUUAAGAAGUGGAGCCUGGUGGUAGGCAAUGGAUCACUAAAGGUGUGACCUGAAAGGUGUUUUCUUGUCUUCCAAAUUUGUUUCCUACAUGCCUCUCAGUGUGCUGUGCUUGGAAGCAGCAGACUGAACCCUGGGAAACUGAGCCUAAGCUAAACUGCUCAUCUUUAAAUUGCAGGUGCCAGAUAUUUUGUCCCUAUGAUGGGAAUGUGAGUAAUACAAUGGACAUUGUUUAUUAAAACUGUAUGUUUUUAUCUUGUUAGUAGCUUUAUUGUCAGUUUGUGGUGCUUUCUGCAUUUUUUGGAGCUAUGACAUCUGUCAUUUUGUUUUUAAUAUUACAUAACUGGUGUUUAUGUUAGCAAAGUGGUGAGAUAGGGUAGCGUUGUUGCAUGCAUGUUAGAGUCAAACCUGAAUGUGAAUCUUGGCUCCAGUACUUAAUGGUGAGUAUGUUACCCCACUUCUCUAGACUUUAUUUACUUUUGAAAAAUAGGAAUGAUAGAUCUACUCUCCAGAAUCAUGUUAUAUGUGGUUCUGAAAUGUUCCUCAUAACACAUGUAUGUUGCAGAAUGGGACUAUGAAACAAGAUUUUAUCUCAAGAGCUCUGGAUGAAUUACUAUUCCAAUAACUCCACAGAUGGGUUCAGAGGAUUAUUAUGAAGUGAUAGAAGUAUAGGCUGAGGACGCUGCUGCCUUUUCCUUCUUUUCUUUGCCAAAGAGCCAUCUGCUACAGAAUCAGUCUCUACUGAAAACACUUCCAAUGUUGAACUAGUACUGUGUUUUCUCAGGAAUCUCUUCUGAAAAAAGCCCGUGCUGCCUUGCCUUGUUGACCAGUUGCUGAAGAGACACACGCUAUGAAAAGCCUCCGACCUAAUGUUACAAAUGGCUGUGGAUCAUAGUUAAUACUGUAUUAGAAAUCUGUCUCCUUCGGUGGGUAAACCUGAAAAGAACCUGAAACUUUUUCCUGCUAGGUUUUUCCUACCUAUAUCUUCACCAUAACAACUUUAAUUAUGCAAUAGGAAUUUCAAAAUUAGGUUGCUUAACCUGAUCCACUGUUGGCAGAAAUGUAAAUUGGUUUGGCCAUUAUGGAAAGCAGUGUGGGAAUUCUUCAAAUCAGUAAAAAUUAGAAUCACCCUAGGAUCCAGCAGUCCCACUAUGGCUACAGAUCCAAGGAAGUAAAUCAGCCUACCAAAGAGAUGUCUGCACUCCCACAUUCACUGCAGCACAUUUAUACUGGCCAGAAAUGGGAACUUUCUGGUAACUGUCAACUAAUGAAUAAAGAGAAUGUGGUACAUGUACAUAGUCCAAUAUUAUUCCACCAUAAAAAUUAAAUUCUGUCCUUUGCAUCAAUACAGAUAUAACUGAAGAUUAUUAUGGUAGGUGAAAUGAGCCAGGUGCAGAAAGACAAGGACCAUAUGAUUUCAGCCAUAUGCAGAAUCUAAAAAAGUUGAUCUCAUAAAAGUUGAGAGUAUGGUGAGAUUACCAGAGAACAGGAAGAGGAAGUGGAGAGAGAGGUAGGGAAAAGUUACUGUUGAAAGGAGAAGGAAGUUCUGAUGUGCUGUUGUACUGUAUGAUGGCCAUCCAAAAGCUAGAAGAAAGGAUCUUGAAAGUUCUGAUGGAAAAAUGACAAAGUUUGAGGAGAUUCAUGUUCAGCCUGACCUUCUCAUCCUGUGGUGCUUACAUGCAAUGAAACAGUACAUGGUGUCCAGCCUAUAUGUACAAUUUUUAAGUUUUUCAUGUAUUUGUCAAAGAAGACAGAAAAUUCAAUUCUUGUAGGGUAAGUGGUUUGCAACUGACUGGGGUAUUCAUACCAUUUCCAUAUCCUCUUAGGAUUAGAGUCCAAUAUUCUUAAAUCCUUUUAUUUUCAUAAAAUUUUGAAUAGAAAUCCAAGCAUAUAGUUCUAUUUCUUCCAAUUGUUUAAAAGGAGAAACUCAAUUCUAACAAAAUCUUAAAAGUUAUGAAUCACAUCCUCUAGGUUUGGAAGGAAAAUAUCUAUUUCCCUCUGUUUGGGAAGUAUGUUACACAGUGCUUUGGAGACUGCGGUGGCAUGUCCUUCCCUGACCUUGAUAUCUCUUCCUUCUGCCAUCUUUUUUUUUUUUUUUUGUCUUUUUCCUUUUUAUCGGUACCAGGGAUUAAACUCAUGACUGCCUGCUUGCAAGGCAGGAGCUAAAUCCCCAGCCCCUUCAUCUUGAUGUCUCUUCCUUCCGGUCUUAAUGACUCUUCCCCCAUCUUGGUGUGUCUUCCAUCUCCCAUCUUGAUGGCUCUUCCUUCCCACAUCUUGUUUGCUUUUCCUUUUCAUACUGUCAUGGCUCUUAACCCAUUAAUCCACUGAUGGGCUGGUUACAUGGUUUGCACAUCAUGGAUUAUGCUGCCGUAAACAUGAGAGUGCAGAAAUGCCUUUGACACAGUUUUCACUUCCCUGGACAUUUGUCAGUAUGGGGUUGCUGAAUCUAACGGCAGUUCUAUUUCUAGCAUUUUAAAAAAACUUUUACACUUCUCUAUAAUUUAUAUUCCCACAAACAGUAUAAAGGACUUAUGCUUUUUGUGUCUCCUUGCCAAUAAUUUGUAUUUUUUGUGUUUUUGACAGUAGCCACUGUAACCGGAUUGAAAUGGCAUCUCAUUGUGUUUGGUUUGUAUUUUUAUUUCUGUGAGUUUUAAUGAUGCAAACUUUCUAUAUAUCUGUUUCUACUUAGGCUACACUUUUGGUGGGGGGUGGUGACUGGGAAUUGAAUUCAGGAUUUUGUGCUUGCCAGGUGGCCAUUUGCCACUGAGUUAUAUCCACCUCAUAGACUGCACUUUUCAAAGGAAUUUUCCUCUCAGAAACCAUCAGUAGGACUGGGAAAAUAUUUUCACUGUAGGCAGCUUCAAGAGCAAUGUUUAUAAACUCGAGAGAACUAGAGAAGGAGGUCUAGAGAGCAUGGAAAACAUGAUGUGGCAAUUGUAGCACACCAGAUGACUGGAAGACAUGGAGGAAGCAGUUAACUGAGGAGCACUCCACAAGGUAGAAAAACCCAGUAAUCAUGAAACAGGAGUCUAAGCUGUUGUGAUUUGGAUGAAUUCACAAUUAUCAUGACAUUAUUCUAUAAUUAUAGGUCUAGAUGCACCUGAGAUCAUUUAGAUCCAGUACAUGGAUCAUGAAGCUAAGAAAGUUCAGUUGAACAAGAUGGAGUGCAGUGUGUAAGUCAAAGGGGAAGUUGCCUGAGGACAAUUAAAGGUCAAAAGAAGCAAAGAAGGGCUUAGCUUUCUUGUUAUAUGAAUUGGGGAAAAUAAAAAAUUAACCCAUUAAGCAGGUUUCAAGGCUAAAAGUAUCAUCGGGGAAAGACAGAUUUUGACUAUGUUAUUAUAACUGAAAGAACAUGUUCACAAAGUCUGAAGUGAGAAAAUUUUAUAAUCUAUCAGGAGUGCAGUAGAAUGAGCUUUUAAAAUGCUUGAGACCAGUAGAGAAUGAUGAAAGAGGAAGGCACAAGAUUGAGGCUCAGCACAUUGACCCAAAAGGACACAAGACUUUCUAAUAUCUUAGUGUGAGCAUCAGAGACAAGACUGAUAGUCAAAGAAAUUCACCAUAUUUAUUGGCAAAUGGCAAAUUAAUAGCUAGUCAUUGUUUUCUCAAAUAGUUAUUGAAGCAAGAACAAAUAUGGAGCAUAUGCUGCUUGGGAGAGAUGCCAGCACUUAGAUGAACUGUUGACAAGAACGAAAGGAUAUUAAAUUAGAAUCAAGAUCUUGCAGAAUGCAUUCAGAGAACACUAUGGAAACACUGCAUUUGCAAAUUACUCUUUACAAUAUGUGAAAAUGCAAAGAAUGAUCUGUGGGCAUGUCAUUACAUCAGUUUGGAAGAAGGAGAUGCAGUCCUUUCUCCCAGAACAUACUACGCUUCCAGCCUGUCCCUUGAGGAGAGGUGAUAUAGAAAGUGGAAGUGGAACGUGUAAAAACAAAGACAGUUAUAUUGAAUAAGAAGAACCCUUUCCUUACUUGACAUCUCUCAUUCCCAGCCUCUCCCCACCAUUUCUGGAGAACUGGAUUUAAGUGACCUAAACCCAAAGUGAUUAAAGACCUCUCUCUGCCUACUUUGAACAUCACAGCAAGAAUGGAACCAGAAACUAGAUUUAAAGUCAGCUUUGAAGACAGAAGCUCUUGUAAGGUCUGAGAUCAUGGACUGGACAAUUUUAAAUGACCCAAAAUAACAUAGUAGAAUUGUCUCCUGCAGGGAGAGAUCUUUAUAAAACUAGCCUGAAAAUUUCCA
Long non-coding RNA from Cavia porcellus (domestic guinea pig), 6118 nucleotides. RefSeq lists it as uncharacterized. The record is from RefSeq and is a predicted model, not a curated record. The transcript is spliced from 2 exons. NCBI's taxonomy places the organism in Eukaryota, Metazoa, Chordata, Mammalia, Rodentia, Caviidae.